GGUCCUUUCUUCAUGUCAAUAAUAUACUAUCGAUCAAACAAUAUUAGCAACAUCCCACAUAUGGUGCAUUGCCAUUUGGAAGUACUGUUACAUGCUAAAAAACAAGUAUCAAGCAUGCGCACUUGAUAGCUAUAGGAGAAUAAUAGCAUAAAACAAGAAAUAUGAAGUUAAUUUGCAACUUACUAUAAAAAUCUAUGCCCAAACCCU
Molecule: long non-coding RNA, 207 nt
Filed under: Elaeis guineensis (African oil palm)
Lineage: Eukaryota; Viridiplantae; Streptophyta; Magnoliopsida; Arecales; Arecaceae
Description: long non-coding RNA (EGUI_LNC032807)
Source: RNAcentral